This 372-nucleotide ribosomal RNA is filed under the name uncultured organism. RNAcentral's name for it is "partial 16S ribosomal RNA". It matches the Rfam family "Bacterial small subunit ribosomal RNA", at positions 527 to 896 of the family's 1533-position model. The record is from RNAcentral.
GUAGGUGGCAAGCGUUGUCCGGAAUUAUUGGGCGUAAAGCGCGCGCAGGCGGUCCUUUAAGUCUGAUGUGAAAGCCCACGGCUCAACCGUGGAGGGUCAUUGGAAACUGGGGGGACUUGAGUACAGAAGAGGAAAGCGGAAUUCCAAGUGUAGCGGUGAAAUGCGUAGAGAUUUGGAGGAACACCAGUGGCGAAGGCGGCUUCCUGGUCUGUAACUGACGCUGAGGCGCGAAAGCGUGGGGAGCAAACAGGGAUUAGAUACCCUGGUAGUCCACGCCGUAAACGAUGAGUGCUAAGUGUAGGGGGUUUCCGCCCCUUAGUGCUGCAGCUAACGCAUUAAGCACUCCGCCUGGGGAGUACGGCCGCAAGGCUG